GACAGAGGGUGCAAACGUUGUUCGGAAUUCCUGGGCGUAAAGCGCAUGUAGGCGGCCAUCUAAGUCGGGCGUGAAAUCCCACGGCUCAACCGUGGAAGUGCACUCGAAACUGGAUGGCUAGAGUCCUGGAGAGGAAGGUGGAAUGCUUGGUGUAGAGGUGAAAUUCGUAGAUAUCAAGCGGAACACCGGUGGCGAAGGCGGCCUUCUGGACAGUGACUGACGCUGAGACGCGAAAGCGUGGGGAGCAAACAGG
This 253-nucleotide ribosomal RNA is filed under the name uncultured bacterium. RNAcentral describes it as "partial 16S ribosomal RNA". It matches the Rfam family "Bacterial small subunit ribosomal RNA", at positions 524 to 776 of the family's 1533-position model. The record is from RNAcentral.